GGCUGCCUGGCCACUGCGAGCCGAAACAUUUCCCUAAAGACUCACCACCUAGGAAGAGUGCACUGGCUCUAGUCACCACAGAAAGAGACACCAGCAGUACUAAAUGCUAGAGGAGGGAAAUGGCUGUAGGUCUGAGUAAGGCAGCAACAUCAAAUGGCUGAUUUAAAAAACACAGGGAACGUGUUUCAAAAGCAGGUGGAAAUGAAUAAGCUGUAAGAGUAUGAGGCACGUCAAUGCAGUGGUGUAUUAGCUAAUUUGCUACAAAAGUGGAACAUGUUGACUUUGUUUCCUGCUAAAAAAUGUCAAAUGUCUAUUUUUAUGAUUUUUUUUUUGAAAUUUUUAUAAAUGGUAGAGUUGAAACACAUGGCAAGACCUCUCUCUUCCAAUAAAACAGAUUAAAAGCUUGAAUAAAUAUGUUGAAGCAGAUUGAUGGAUGCACUGGCGUUUUGCUUCUGCUGUACCUUUAGCAGGUUUAGCAAAGAUUAUUCUGUCAUUUCUUGACUACUAUAUAUGACAGAGCUAGCAAGGUGAUACCAUUUCACCCACUGAUCAGUAUUUGCUCAGUAAAUAUAAGUGGCCAAAGGCAAAUUCCUUUCAAGCCCCAGAGAUAGUGAAGAAUUGCAGUAUUUAAUGCCUAAUCCAAAGCCUCAAGGGAAAGAUCUUCAUUAUUUCAGUGAAUUUGUAUCUACACUUUGCAAGGGCAGAACUUACAAUGGUGAUUUAUUCAGAUAAAUAUUUACUUAACAUACAUGCUGUCUGAAAAUCUCUUCAGGCUUUUUAGCCUUUAGAUUUAGGUACACAGCAUGGCUGAGGGCUGGUAUGAGAAAACUCCAGACAAGGGGCUGGGUCAGGCAGCUUGGUUUGUAGUGGACAUUUGUGUAGAGCACCAGACGGAUGGCUUAGGGGCCUAACAUCGGCCAUUCACAUCGCCGCACCGCUCUGCCAGCAUGUUUCAAUUCUAUCUGGGAGGGAUCUGCUUUCAGAUCCCCUCUGCUGGGAUUGCCAGUGAAGCUGCCAAACUUGACACAGUUUUAUCGGCUGGCAUCAGGGAAGAAGAGAACAACCAUGAAGAACAUGGAGCAACACAGUCACAGUGCAUACAAAACACACCAGGAGACCACCCUACGUCUGGAUAAAAGAAUGACACUGCAGAUUUAAUGGGAUCUUGGAAGAGAAACUGGUUAGCUGGACUCUUCAGUAUGAGAGAGGUACAUUCAGAAGCUAGAGUGAAGUCUAACAGAAUAUAAGAAUAUUUUUCCUGUCUACUCAGUUUUGUUGAUGGGAUUAGCUCGACCUUUGGUAGGUUGCUUUCCCAAGCAUGUUAAAGAAGGGAAUCACAGCGUUUCCAGCUACACGACUUCUUCACCUAGAUUUUAGGUCCUGCUGCUUUUGUUUGAGAGUGAUGUGGUAGCUACAAGCAUGGAUGGUGAACAUCCUGAUCAUGUCAGCAUGUUGGAAGUGGCUAGCAAGCAAUAACCAGUUUUGCCUUACCAGUGAUGUGUAUAGAGAUUUCUGUGCAGCAGGAAGAUUGGGUGACUGACACACAGAUCCUCCCUCAGACUGCAGGGGAGAUGGUGAGUUCUGGGGUCUUCUGACAUCCAGAGUCUUGUACUGCUCACUUCUUUUUUUGUUCAAUUCUGUAGAUUUUUAGUCCCAUGAAAAUACUCUUACAUGUUGACUUUGGUGGUAAUAAAAGUCCAUGAAACGAAAGAAAUGUUCUGUUCUCUUACAAGUUGUUUUGUACUCCUUUUUUUUUUGGAGUUGCUGCCAAUUAACAAAAAAAUAAUUGAGAAAUAUCUCCCCAGAUGGAUUGUUUUCCCUUCCAUGUUAUGUUAAAUUCGUACUUUUCCUAUAAUGAAACAUCUUCAGUUCCUUCUUUUUCCAAUGAUGUUCUAUGUUUGUUUUAGAUUUAGUUAUUAUCAAGAAUCCCCUGAAAAUUACAUCCUGUGAUUUGUUACCAGUUAAUCAAGACUUAGUGCUUUCCUGUCCCUUUCUCAAAAUAUUAGCUCAUCAAAUUCGGACAAAAUCAGUUUGGAUGUGGUCGUGCCAUCAGCAACUCAUUAGUCUGUCUUCUGUCCCCUGCACCAGAGCUUCCCAGGAAAUCUAGCAGUCCUGAGGAUGGUUGCUUGCUUCCUCCAUGCCAAAAGAAGAACAAACUUGCAGGAUCCCACCUGCACCGGUUGAUCAGAAUGAGAGAGUAGGAACUUACUAUCCAUCUAAAGUGUUGGAUAAAUGUCAAAGAGUUCAGAGAUUUAAAGGAUAUAAACUUUUAAACAUUUAUGUGCUGAAAAAAACCCCAAUAUCUGAGAGCUGGAAAACAGCACUAAAAAUGUGAGAAAACAUAGGAAUCUACUACUUUCUUAUUGUAGAUCAACCAGCUCUAGAAUAACCAUGUAUAUAACAGAUACCUCAGGACAGACAGGAGUUUUUAAAUCAUUUGUACACUCUCAGCACAGGUGAGGAAGACAUGCAGCUGGUUUUGGAGGCAACUGUGGGCUAGCAAGUGACUAAUGCACUGAAUCAUCUUCACUCAGAAUCAUUACGAAUCAGUUGAGCCAGAGUUAACAGUUCUGGUAGUCCCUGUACAACCAAGUCCACCCAUCUUGUUGCUUUCUAUGGUCAUUAGUCUACAUGAAGAAGUGGUUCAGCUCAGAGGAUUGUCAAGACUUUUUCCCCAAGGUGCACGUCUUCCCAGGUCUUUUUGUGGACUGGAAAUUAUAGCUCCUCCCUGUUUUCCAGUCUUUCUAAUUAUGCUGAUGGAGACUACAGAGCAAGGCUAUCAUUUGCUUAAAUGCCUUCAGUUUGGAAGAAAAGAUUCCAGAGUUACAUUCUUCUGUAUGUAGGAUAAUGGGUUUUUUCUCUUCUUUUUUUGUAAAGAAGAAGCAUGAAAAAAAAUUUAUAGCCAAUGUAACCAGAACACAGAGUACCACGCUCUGCAUUAUCGUCAUGGUUUCAAAAAGCAGGAAAAAUAACAACCUAAGGUAGUAAAGAUAAAGAUGGCCUUGUUGCAUAAUUUCGUUUCUUGAUGCUGAGUCAGUUGCUGUCCUCUUGUACAGGGAAGGACUGGAUACGUCUUUUCUUUUUUUUUUAAUUAAUUUUAUUCUUGAAGCAGAAUGUCAUCCACAGACCACAGUGCUAGAUGCUUUGAAAACUAUAGAAUGUGUUCAACAUUUACAGUACUCUUCCUGUACACAAAUAAGCUAAAUCAAGGUAUCAUUUUAUGUCUUUAACAGUGGAAAAUAGUGUGAUAAUUUAAGCAAGAUUCUUCCAGAACUUAAUUUUACUAAUCCGUGUCUUUGUUGCAGGCUGGAGACGUUCCAUGAGGCAUACCACUUAUUACUUGUAGAAAUAAGAAUCACGUAGCAGAGGGCUGGAAAACCCUUUAUAAAUUCUAAGGAAAGAGUUGCUUGAGGUUGAAGGCAUUUAAAUGAGGCUGGCUUUACAGUCUAACUAACUGGGACGUCUUCACUCAGAAGAAUUAUUACAAAUAAGUUGAGACAGAGGCUUGAAAGUUUUACAGAUGUGGUAGUGCCUGAGUGACCAAGUCCAAUUAUCUUGUUGUUUUCUGUGGUCAUUACAUUAGCCUACACAAAUAAUUUGUUCAGCUCAGAGGAUUCUUGAGUGUUUUUAAUGUCAUACCAUGAAAGGAAGGCUGUAUUCAAUUACCUGAUACAGAAUCUAGAUGGAUUGCUUUCACUCCUAGUCUCUACUAACUAGACGUGCUUGAAAUGUAUCUUGUCAAAAACACCACAUAAACUGAAAUGUGGGUGUAAAUGUUACAGAUUUCUUUUAUCUUUGAGAUUUUUGUGUGUGGUUCUGUUUGAGGGGAUUUAAUAAAGUCACUCAGGAUGAAGUCUACUUCUCUAUCUUCUGAAAUACUUCUUUAUGGAGUUGUUCCUUUAAUUGUCACUAGAUAUGAGUGGGGGGAGCUCACAUUGGUUUAGAUGAUAACUGAAUAACAGACAAUCAUUAUUUUGGGGGCUUAUCUCACGCUUUAAAGGGGACAUGGCCAGGGAUUUUGAUCAUUCAGUUAUAAACACCUGUUUCAUGUUUACACACAUUCUCCUUUUAGGAAAGGAGGAAUCAUCCUUUCUCUCCCUAUUCCCUCUCUGAACAGAGACAAUGACCUCCUUUUCUUUACUGGGCAUCGGUAAGAUAUACUCCCUGAAAAUGCUUCCAUAAGGGCUAAAAGAUUAAAAUAUCAUUUAGAUAUGAAUUAUAUUAGGUCACUGAGAAACAAAAGCUUCUGACAAGGAUUUACUUUUCAUUAAAAAGAUCUUAAUGAGCUAUUGUAGAAGAGUCUUGAUUCCAGACAGUGUAUUUUAUGUAAUAUCCUCCUUUGUGGGAACUAACUGACGACCUUUCUGACCUCAAAGCUACCCUCAGGGCUGGGGCCUUUGGUCAGGCUUGAUUUUCUCUGCAAAUUUCCAAAUGCUUUCUAUAAUCAGCAUUAGCUCAUGAGGUCUUUAGAGCAUAGAUUAUUCUUUUUGUUGCUGUAAUUGAUUAUUCUGAAACUUCAGAAAAUUUUGCUAGUGCUUUUCUCCUAUAGUCUGUCUGGUAGCACUUCAGUUCUUGGUCAUUAAGAAAAAUAGACAGUGGAUCUGCUACUGCUGUUACCUGGUGCACUUGCCUGAAGUCCUAAGGUUGAGAGAGGAGUAUUCUCACAUUACACUAGCCAUCUUUUGUUUUCAUGUACUCUGAAAAUUCAGAAACCUACUCCAAUCCAAUGCACAUGCAUUUGGAUCAGCAUUAAUCAAAAGGAUUACUAAGAUGUCCACUUUCCAGUUGCUUUCAGGAAGAAGCUAGCUCGUGUGUACCUGAGGGCCAGAUAUGACCUGAACCUUAGUCCCAAGAGGACAGUGACAAGCUGAAAGAAAUUAAUUUGCCAACAACAGAGUGAAGAGAGAAACAGCCUAUGAGCUGCUAUGCAAGUCAGAGGCUUUCCACCUUAACCUCUACUAAUGUUGGGGCAGGUUCUGAGGUCCUUUCUAUUACCACCAGCCUGGUAUUUUAUAGCAUUGGCCCACAACGCAAAUGGGAGAACUGCAGUUCUUAUCACCACUAAAAUAAAAUGCAGAAACCCACCACAGACGAACUGAAGUACUUGCUAAGCUCUAACACCUGCAUUUCAGGUAACCUCUUUGUCUGAAAGUUGUUUGUUUAGACUGCAUUACAGAAUAUUUGUCUUCAGACCAGUCUGUAAAAUGCCUUCACAGACUGUCAGUACCAUGUCACAAAAUAGUAAAAAUAAAAUGCAUUUAUGUGGGCCCAAACUACCAUUCUGCCUGCUUGAAUUUUUUUCUUUUUAAUCUAUUAACUUCCUAACUGAUAAUAAAAGUUCAUCUAUCAUUGUUGAGCAAACCAGAUCCUAACAUGAACUAGGGUGGUCCAAAUGUAUUUGUUAUUUAGUUUCCGACACCUGUUACAGUCUUUACAGGAAAUGUAAUACAGUCUUAUUAAACCUUAUUCUCUACUUUCAACAACCAUCUUUUCUGGCUACAACAGAAACAGGAAGAUAAGACUUAUGGAGUAUUUAAAUCGGUGUUUUACUGACCAUGAAAGACACUAUCUGCAAAAUGAUCAGUAAUUAGCUUACGUAUCUUACUCUAGGCAAGAGAAGCUAGCUGGACAUGAUAAAUGUGAACUAUAUAACUGUUUAAGCUUUGAAUUGGAUCUACUGAGAUACGUCUGGUACUCUUGGUCAGAAUACUUCUUCUGGCUUAGGAUUCAGGACCCUUGUGGUAUACACUUAGCAUCACCCAAAGUAAGGUCACCACUGUAGAGUUAUGCAGGUGUGUUCACUGAUAUAAAGCCUUCUGCUAACUUUCAAUUUUAUUAUAAAUAUUCUUAAAAUGCACCAGAAAUUGUAUGAAUAGCAAUGCUACUUCGUUUAGUUUGAGGUUGAGAAGUAGGAGAGCAAAGGUUCCCACUUAGCUCAAAUCAGAGGGAGAGAGAAGUUCAUCUCUCUACAGACAUUUCUGAGACAAUAUUCUGACUUUCACUGUUCCUGCUACAGUCUUUCCACAUCCUCCCCAGUGGGGAAUCUGGAUGCAGCAUGGCUGACAUCAGUGUGAGAGAAAUGAUCUUUACCACUGCUGCUCCCCUGACUCCUCUGGCUGUUCCCAUGACUGUUGCAGUGAGGAAAGUACCCCAGGGAUUUCUUAAUUCUCAAGUCAGGUCCCUGAGUACUGGGGUAACUCUUGUCUUUUCUUCAUACUUUCAAAGAAAUAAGCUUACAAGGAAACCUUAAAAUUCAUAGAACACCCUGUGUGGAGAGUACUGUUUCAGUAACUUUCAGUGCUUUCUGUGUAGGUGAAUCACCAUGUCAUGUAUUGCCUGUGGCAAUUCUAAAAAAUUUACUUGGAAAUGUUUGGAGAAGGUGAUGACAGCUCUUCUGCAUGUUCUGUAGCCACCACAU
This is a non-coding RNA of Phalacrocorax carbo (great cormorant), 6418 nucleotides long. Lineage: Eukaryota; Metazoa; Chordata; Aves; Suliformes; Phalacrocoracidae. The record is from RefSeq and is a predicted model, not a curated record.